Molecule: non-coding RNA, 181 nt
Filed under: SAR324 cluster bacterium
Lineage: Bacteria; Deltaproteobacteria
Also listed under: 1 other name
Description: 6S RNA
Rfam family: 6S / SsrS RNA
About the family: E. coli 6S RNA was the first non coding RNA to be sequenced, but its function was unknown until recently. It consists of 184 nucleotides that fold into an extended hairpin structure with a large single-stranded internal bulge. The 6S RNA specifically associates with RNA polymerase holoenzyme containing the sigma70 specificity factor.
Source: RNAcentral
AAUGGCCUGCGGUGUGCGUGAUCAAACUUUUGCACCUAACGUGUCAGUGAGGGGUCAGUCCCUGAAGGGGGUGUGCCAGCCUUCCAUCCUUUAGGAAGGACGCCUAAUCCCUUCACACCGCACCCUAUUUGUUGAGGGCCAGGUACAAAAGCCCUAUUUGACACGGCACCGCGGACCUUUU